CGGACGGGUGAGUAACGCGUGGGUAACCGUGCCUCACACAGGGGAUAACAGUUGGAAACGGCUGCUAAUACCGCAUAAGCGCACAGUACCGCAUGGUACAGUGUGAAAAACUCCGGUGGUGUGAGAUGGACCCGCGUCUGAUUAGCUAGUUGGCAGGGCAACGGCCUACCAAGGCGACGAUCAGUAGCCGACCUGAGAGGGUGACCGGCCACAUUGGGACUGAGACACGGCCCAA
Molecule: ribosomal RNA, 235 nt
Filed under: uncultured bacterium
Lineage: Bacteria
Description: partial 16S ribosomal RNA
Rfam family: Bacterial small subunit ribosomal RNA
Source: RNAcentral